GUUUUAAUAGUUUAAAGAAAACUUUGGUUUUGUAAAUCAAAAAUGAAUUGAUUAUUUCUUAAAACA
This 66-nucleotide transfer RNA is filed under the name Pontastacus leptodactylus (narrow-clawed crayfish). RNAcentral's name for it is "Astacus leptodactylus (narrow-clawed crayfish) tRNA-Thr". It matches the Rfam family "tRNA". Rfam says of the family: Transfer RNA (tRNA) molecules are approximately 80 nucleotides in length. Their secondary structure includes four short double-helical elements and three loops (D, anti-codon, and T loops). Lineage: Eukaryota; Metazoa; Arthropoda; Malacostraca; Decapoda; Astacidae. The record is from RNAcentral.